Molecule: ribosomal RNA, 468 nt
Filed under: uncultured bacterium
Lineage: Bacteria
Description: partial 16S ribosomal RNA
Rfam family: Bacterial small subunit ribosomal RNA
Source: RNAcentral
GACGAACGCUGGCGGCGUGCUUAACACAUGCAAGUCGAACGGAAAGGCCCUGCGUUUGUGGGGUUCUCGAGGGGCGAACGGGGGAGUAACACGUGAGUAACCUGCCCUUGAUUUUGGGAUAACUUCAGGAAACUGGGGCUAAUACCGUAUAGGAUCUCCUGCUGCAUGGUGGGGGUUGGAAAGUUUCGGCGGUUGGGGCUGGACUCGCGGCUGAUCAGCUUGUUGGUGGGCGAGGUGCUUACCAAGGCUUUGACGGGUAGGCGGCCUGAGAGGGUGACCGGCCUCCUUGGGCCUACGAUAGGCACCAGACUCCUACGGGAGGCAACAGUGGGGAAUAUUGCCCAAUGGGACCGCGCCUGAUGAAGAAACGCCGCGUGCGGAAUGACGGCCUUCGGGUUGUAAAAAGCUUUAGCCUGUGACGAGGCGUGAGUGACGGUACUGGGUAAAGAAGCACCGGCUAACUACGUG